Molecule: ribosomal RNA, 468 nt
Filed under: uncultured bacterium
Lineage: Bacteria
Description: partial 16S ribosomal RNA
Rfam family: Bacterial small subunit ribosomal RNA
Source: RNAcentral
GACGAACGCUGGCGGCGUGCUUAACACAUGCAAGUCGAACGGAAAGGCCCUGCUUUUGUGGGGUGCUCGAGUGGCGAACGGGUGAGUAACACGUGAGUAACCUGCCCUUGACUUUGGGAUAACUUCAGGAAACUGGGGCUAAUACCGGAUAGGAGCUCCUGCUGCAUGGUGGGGGUUGGAAAGUUUCGGCGGUUUGGGAUGGACUCGCGGCUUAUCAGCUUGUUGGUGGGGUAGUGGCUUACCAAGGCUUUGACGGGUAGCCGGCCUGAGAGGGUGACAGGCCACAUUGGGACUGAGAUACGGCCCAGACUCCUACGGGAGGCAGCAGUGGGGAAUAUUGCACAAUGGGCGGAAGCCUGAUGCAGCAACGCCGCGUGCGGGAUGACGGCCUUCGGGUUGUAAACCGCUUUCGCCUGUGACGAAGCGUGAGUGACGGUAAUGGGUAAAGAAGCACCGGCUAACUACGUG